CCUACGGGAGGCUGCAGUGGGGAAUAUUGCACAAUGGGCGCAAGCCUGAUGCAGCCAUGCCGCGUGUGUGAAGAAGGCCUUCGGGUUGUAAAGCACUUUCAGCGGGGAGGAAGGCGUUAAGGUUAAUAACCUUGGCGAUUGACGUUACCCGCAGAAGAAGCACCGGCUAACUCCGUGCCCGCAGCCGCGGUAAUACGGAGGGUGCAAGCGUUAAUCGGAAUUACUGGGCGUAAAGCGCACACAGGCGGUCUGGCAAGUCGGAUGUGAAAUCCCCGGGCUCAACCUGGGAACUGCAUUCGAAACUGGCAGGCUAGAGGCUUGUAGAGGGGGGUAGAAUUCCAGGUGUAGCGGUGAAAUGCGUAGAGAUCUGGAGGAAUACCGGUGGCGAAGGCGGCCCCCUGGACAAAGACUGACGCUCAGGUGCGAAAGCGUGGGGAGCAAACAGGAUUAGAUACCCGAGUAGUC
Molecule: ribosomal RNA, 465 nt
Filed under: uncultured Klebsiella sp.
Lineage: Bacteria; Pseudomonadati; Pseudomonadota; Gammaproteobacteria; Enterobacterales; Enterobacteriaceae
Description: bacterial SSU rRNA
Rfam family: Bacterial small subunit ribosomal RNA
Source: RNAcentral